RNAcentral lists this ribosomal RNA (253 nucleotides) under uncultured bacterium. Its description in RNAcentral is "partial 16S ribosomal RNA". It matches the Rfam family "Bacterial small subunit ribosomal RNA", at positions 524 to 776 of the family's 1533-position model. The record is from RNAcentral.
UACGUAGGGGGCAAGCGUUGUCCGGAAUCAUUGGGCGUAAAGCGCGUGUAGGCGGCCCGGUAAGUCCGCUGUGAAAGUCCAGGGCUCAACCCUGGGAUGCCGGUGGAUACUGUCGGGCUCGAGUCCGGAAGAGGCGAGUGGAAUUCCUGGUGUAGCGGUGAAAUGCGCAGAUAUCAGGAGGAACACCAAUGGCGAAGGCAGCUCGCUGGGAUGUGACUGACGCUGAGACGCGAAAGCGUGGGGAGCAAACAGG